GGCCUCUAUGGUGUUAUAGUAGCACGUGCCUCCGGUAUUGGCGAAACGCGGGUUCAACUCCCGAGUAGGGUCG
Molecule: non-coding RNA, 73 nt
Organism: Parelaphostrongylus tenuis
Lineage: Eukaryota; Metazoa; Nematoda; Chromadorea; Rhabditida; Metastrongylidae
Source: the annotation of a GenBank genome assembly